This 460-nucleotide ribosomal RNA is filed under the name uncultured bacterium. RNAcentral's name for it is "partial 16S ribosomal RNA". It matches the Rfam family "Bacterial small subunit ribosomal RNA", at positions 338 to 795 of the family's 1533-position model. The record is from RNAcentral.
CCUACGGGGGGCAGCAGUGAGGAAUAUUGGUCAAUGGGCGUGAGCCUGAACCAGCCAAGUCGCGUGAGGGAUGACGGUCCUAUGGAUCGUAAACCUCUUUUAUAAGGGAAUAAAGUGAGGCACGUGUGCCGUUUUGUAUGUACCUUAUGAAUAAGGAUCGGCUAACUCCGUGCCAGCAGCCGCGGUAAUACGGAGGAUCCGAGCGUUAUCCGGAUUUAUUGGGUUUAAAGGGUGCGUAGGCGGGUUUUUAAGUCAGUGGUGAAAGUUUGCGGCUCAACCAUAGAAUUGCCGUUGAUACUGGGAGGCUUGAGUACGGUUGAGGUAGGCGGGAUGCGUGGUGUAGCGGUGAAAUGCUUAGAUAUCACGAAGAACUCCGAUUGCGAAGGCAGCAUACCAAGCCACGACUGACGCUGAUGCACGAAAGCGUGGGGAUCAAACAGGAUUAGAUACCCCAGUAGUC